AUUGAACGCUAACGGCGUGCUUAACACAUGCAAGUCGAGCGGCAGCACAGUAGUAGCAAUACUAUGGGUGGCGAGCGGCGGACGGGUGAGUAAUGCAUAGGAAUCUGCCUUGUAGUGGGGGAUAACCCGGGGAAACUCGGGCUAAUACCGCAUAAUCUCUACGGAGCAAAGUGGGGGACCGUAAGGCCUCACGCUAAAAGAUGAGCCUAUGUUGGAUUAGCUAGUUGGUAGGGUAAAGGCCUACCAAGGCAACGAUCCAUAGCUGGUCUGAGAGGAUGAUCAGCCACACUGGGACUGAGACACGGCCCAGACUCCUACGGGAGGCAGCAGUGGGGAAUAUUGGACAAUGGGCGAAAGCCUGAUCCAGCAACGCCGUGUGUGUGAAGAAGGCCUUCGGGUUGUAAAGCACUUUUAGUUGGGAAGAAAAGCUCAAGACUAAUACCCAAGAUGAGUGGACGUUACUCGCAGAAUAAGCACCGGCUAACUCUGUGCCAGCAGCCGCGGUAA
Molecule: ribosomal RNA, 507 nt
Filed under: uncultured bacterium
Lineage: Bacteria
Description: partial 16S ribosomal RNA
Rfam family: Bacterial small subunit ribosomal RNA
Source: RNAcentral